GGGGGAUUAGCUCAGUUGGCUAGAGUACUUGCCUGGCAGGCAAGGGGUCACCGGUUCGAGCCCGGUAUCCUCCA
Molecule: transfer RNA, 74 nt
Filed under: Saprospiraceae bacterium
Lineage: Bacteria; Pseudomonadati; Bacteroidota; Saprospiria; Saprospirales; Saprospiraceae
Description: tRNA-Ala
Rfam family: tRNA
About the family: Transfer RNA (tRNA) molecules are approximately 80 nucleotides in length. Their secondary structure includes four short double-helical elements and three loops (D, anti-codon, and T loops).
Source: RNAcentral